Molecule: long non-coding RNA, 1347 nt
Organism: Physeter macrocephalus (sperm whale)
Lineage: Eukaryota; Metazoa; Chordata; Mammalia; Artiodactyla; Physeteridae
Exons: 4
Source: RefSeq, a predicted model, not a curated record
AUCUCCACAUAGCACUCGGGCUGUGCUACUUUACGUCCCAACUGCGGAUCUCUGAUGGGACAGCUGGGAGGGUGGGCUGUGGGCCUGCAGCAGGGCUGUCUGCUACCUGCUUGGUGCCAAAGUCCACUUACUCGUCUGAGAUGGGGCAUCUGUCAGCCAAGAUGGAAGCAGGGUGACGAUGCCGAGGCCACACACGUGGCCCCUGGAAACGAAAGAAUCCAUAUGGGAUUUGGAUUUGACGGGGCCUGUGUAAGAAUCCUAACUGCACCCUUAGCUGAUGAACAAGCUGUGAGGCCUCGUGAAAGAAAGUCUCAGAACCUCUUCCCUCCUCGUCUGCAACGGGCACCGUGGUUCCUCCAUGAGACAGUGCUGUGAGGGUGGGUGCCCAGCUGUGUGUGCAGCGUGUGUGCCAGGCUGAGCAGCUGGCACAGGGUGGGCAGUUCAGUGAGAUUAAGUACCUUCACAUUGUUGUACAAUCACCACCACCGUUCGUCUCCACAUCUUUUGCAACAUUCCUGUACUCGUGAAAUAAUAACUCCCCCUCUCCUUUCACCCAGCCUUGGUAACCUCUAAUAUUUCCUGUUUCUGUGAAUUUGACUGUUCUAGGUAAACUCAUGUAUGUGGAAUCAUACAAUACUUGUCCUUUUGUGUUUGGCUUAUUUUACUGAGAAUAAUGUCUUCAGGGUGCAUCCGUGCUGUGACAUGUGUCAGAAUUUCAUUUGUUUUUAAGGCUGAAUAAUAUUCCAUUGCUUGUAUGUACCACAUUCUGCUUAUCCAUUUGUCCAUCAAUGAUCAUUUGCGUUGUUUCCACAUUUUGGCUGUUGUGAAUAAUACCGCCAUGAACGUGGGUGUGCCAUUAUCUGUUUGAGUUCCUGCUUUCAAUUUUUUGGAUAUAUACCUAGAAGUGGAAUUACUGGAUUGAUGGUAAUUCUACAUUUCCUUUUUUGAGGGACCACCAUACUAACCCUUUUUAAAGCUUUCCCAGUGGAAGGGCAGUGCUGCAGGGGUGGUGUCUGAUGAGAAUAGAUGCUCUGGGCCUUUCCAGAGUUAGGGCUGGGGGCUGGGGGUGGACCCUGGAGCUGGCACAGGGCACCCCUUGGCAGUUCAGCACUGCCCUCCACCAAAUGGGACCCGUUUUACACUAAGCCCUGGGAGAAAGGAAGCCCUAGCUCUGUUCACCAUGGAUGGACAGAGAUCGUUUUGCUUCUUAUGAUUAAACACCACCUAAGUCCCCCACCCCAUCUAUGCACACAUCAACUCCAGAUUUGGUUCAGAAAGGUGACUUAAGAAGUUUGAAGAUGUUGUGAUUAAAUGCAUGGGCUUUGGUGCCAGUUCAAAUUCUGGUUU